CACAACUCAAAACUCCCUUACCGCCACAUACUGUCUUAUCAAAUCGCGAGUACUCUUCUCUUGGUUCAACUAUACUUUUAAAUUCUGCUGUUCUAACCUAAAAUAAUAAUUUUACGAAUUGCAUAUCGGCGUUUUUGCUUUAUAAAAAAAGAAAAUAAAUUUAUGUAUUGAAAUAUUAUCACUUUCAACAAUUUCUGUUUAUCUAAAUAUCUAUAGAAAGUUAGUAGAGAUUGACAGUUGUAAUUAUUUGAUCAUGUGAAAUAUCUAUAUAACACUAUUUCAGUCGCUGUUUUUUUAAAGAAUAAUUAUAACAAACUGACACUCAUAAAUUAUUGAGUAUGAAUUUUAUGCAAAUAUUCCGAGGUUGUAGUGAUAAAUAUUUGUUGAAAUUAACAAAUCAAUUAUUAAACAUUCAAAAUGCAAAAUACAUAAGACUAGCAGAAGUAGGGAAAUUAGAGAAACCAAAGCUCCAAGGAAAAUAUGAAACAGGACAGUUGAUAUUGCAUCGAGUUUUUGGCUAUCGAGGGGUUAUUUUGUUUCCUUGGCUCGCGAGAGUUUUCGACCGUGAUUUACCGAAUAAAAGAAACGGCCAUGAAGAAAACUUCACCAGUGUUGGAAAAGAAGUUAAAGGAAAGACACAUACAUUCUAUCAGGUGUUGAUUGAUCAACGUGAUUGUCCUUUUAUUAGAGCACAAACAGAAGCCGUUACCUUCCUAGGAAAUAAUGAAAGUAGUCGAAGCCUGUAUGCAAUACCUGGUCUUGAUUACGUAGCACACGAAGACAUCCUUCCAUAUUCAACAAACGACAAAUCUGCUUUGCAGCAUGAACUAUUUGACAAAUUUCUGACAUUCAAUCCCAGUAGAGAUCCACCUUUUGUAGCUCAAGAGACCCUCCGAGCUUGGCAAGAAAAAAACCAUCCUUGGCUAGAGUUGUCAGAUGUUCACAAAGAAACAACGGAAAAUAUUCGUGUGACAGUGAUUCCGUUCUACAUGGGAUGCAGGGAGACUCAAACUACAUCAGUUUAUUGGUGGCGUUACUGUAUUAGACUAGAAAAUUUAGGUGACCUUAGUGUUCAAUUACGUGAACGACAUUGGAGAAUAUUCAGUCUGUCUGGAACACUAGAGACAGUCCGGGGACGUGGAGUUGUUGGUCAAGAGCCAGUAUUGUCAAAAACUUUACCAGCUUUUCAGUAUAGUAGUCAUGUUAGUCUCCAAGCACCAAGUGGACACAUGUGGGGUACAUUCAGGAUGGAACGUGAGGAUGGUUAUACAUUCGAUUGUCGCAUACCUCCAUUUUCUUUGGAAUCAAAAGUAGGUGAAUCUUCAGCAACCGACACCGAAAACUGACCCUAGUUAUCGCUUCGGAUAUUCUAAGAUAACGACGACGAGAAUAUAUAUGUUGACAUGGAGAAAUGAACUUGCAUUAGAAAAAGAUAGUUUUUCUGAUGAUUCAGUUAUUAUUCAAGUGUAUAUAUGCAAUAUCGAUUAAGUCAUGUAGAGCUUUUGUAAAUUAAUAUCAUUCAGUAAUUUAGUGAAUCCUAUGAUAAUUCUUAGUAGCAUAAAAUAAUACUGAGGAAGACAAUAAGAUAUCACAAACUGAGCCAUCCGAAAAAGCACAAAAUAAUAAUAACAAUUGGUUCCAGCCAAUUGAAUUCAGUGAGUUGCAGUGGUAAAGCACGUGGCAAUAAACGAGAAUUCUUCUUUGAUAAAGUUUUUCCACUAACUGCUACCCAAGCAGAUAUUUUUGAAGAGUUGUCUCUACUUGUUCAAUCAGCCUUGGAAGGUGACAAUGUUUGUGACUUUGCCUACGGUCAAACUGGUUCUGGUAAAACGUACAUAUACGAUGGAAGGUUGUGAUGAUCCUGAGUUGGAAGGUAUGAUACCUAGAACUGUCCGACAUAUCUUCGUCCAAAUGAAAGAAUUUGAGCUCCUAAGAUGGGAGUAUAAAAUUGAAGCAAGCUUUCUUGAAAUCUAUAACGAGCACAUUGUGGAUCUUUUGGAUAGUCAGCAGAAAAUACGAGAUCAAUAUGGUUGACUCUAGAAGGACUGGUCUGUAUGUUACCAAUUUACAAAUUGAAGAGAUACAUAGUCC
Chelonus insularis is the source of this 2091-nucleotide RNA transcript. It is a transcript of the gene named DNA polymerase delta interacting protein 2, with no coding region annotated. NCBI's taxonomy places the organism in Eukaryota, Metazoa, Arthropoda, Insecta, Hymenoptera, Braconidae. The transcript is spliced from 7 exons. The record is from RefSeq and is a predicted model, not a curated record.